AGCUUUGUCCAGUGGCAGUAUUGUAGGCAGUGAGGUUUAUUCAAAGCGUGAUUAUUACUAAUUGAAACCUUAUUUCAGUAAG
RNAcentral lists this small nuclear RNA (82 nucleotides) under Chinchilla lanigera (long-tailed chinchilla). Its description in RNAcentral is "U4 spliceosomal RNA (ENSCLAG00000020698.1)". The record is from RNAcentral. Lineage: Eukaryota; Metazoa; Chordata; Mammalia; Rodentia; Chinchillidae.